AGAUUUUCCAUAUUUGUUAAGAUGCAUCAUUGCUUCUGUGGGUUUAGCUGCGCUCUUAAUAUCUGCUGUUACAGUCAACAUGUGGGCAAAAUCUAAAGUGAACAAAACACAGAUGGAAAAAAGAAGCGUGCACAGUGAUGAAGAUGAAGGUACAGUGACCUAUGAAAACUCUGCAGACCCUUCUGCUUCUGUCAGACUCCACUGAUCAUCAACAUCAACUCAGCACAGAAAC
This is a long non-coding RNA of Archocentrus centrarchus (flier cichlid), 232 nucleotides long. RefSeq lists it as uncharacterized. The transcript is spliced from 3 exons. The record is from RefSeq and is a predicted model, not a curated record. NCBI's taxonomy places the organism in Eukaryota, Metazoa, Chordata, Actinopteri, Cichliformes, Cichlidae.